AUAAGGUGAAUGGGCAGGUGGCGAAAAGUGGAAGCCAAUAUGGGUUUUGAUUUUGUGAUAGUGGGCGGGUCCCACUUGAGGGUCUUAAUGGGUUGAAUUUAUUACAUAUAUAUAUAUAUAUAUAUAUAUGUAUAUAUAUAUAAAUAGCAAUUGAUGAAAUGAUGCAUAAAGGGAGCAGCCGAGAUUGUGAAAGGAAGAAAGAUGAAUUAUGGUGGCGGGUCCCAUUGAUUGAUAUUUUGGCACUAUUUAUUUGACUUUGGCUUUUUCCACGUUCUAAUGUGAGUUUAGAUUGCAUUCUUUGUAUUUGAAAUUUGAUUGUUAAAGUGAUAUAUGAAGAGAUAAGGAAUGGAAAGGAAGUGGGUGGCGGGUCCACUAGUGUCUUUUGAUUCUUGAUAUUUAUUUUGUAGUCUGAGCAGUGUUGUGUCAAUUUUCUAUUUAUAUCAGUAUCAGUUUGUGAGUUUGAGAAUGAUACAAAGGAAAGAAGAAAAAAAAAAUAGAGGAACACACUGUCAGCCGAGAGCUCUAGGAGAGAGAAACCCGAGAUGGACUUGAUGCUCAGAUGAUGAUGUGAUUCUUUUGCAGAUUUCAAGUACUGAGGAUGAGCUUGGAUUGAUAGCUGUGGGCUUAGGUGGAAGAGUUGGUGUUGAGGAUUUUAUUCUAUUAUCUAGAGAAUUUUGUAUAUUUAUUUUUGAGGAAUUGAUUUAGUACCAAUUUAAUUGAAUUUGAGAUGUUAUAUUUAUUUGAGGAAUUGAUUCUGUAUCAAUAAAAGAGUAUUCUUUUUGAGAUCCUGGGUGUGUAUUUAAGUAUUUUGAUUUAAUGAAAUCGAGGAUUUUAUUUAGAAAAAUUCGGGGCGUGACAAAAUGGUAUCAGAGCCUGUAUCCAGCCGGAAGUGUGAGUUUGGUGAUGAUGUUGUCGGGUGUGUGUGGGCGAGUGUUUAGUUCUGACUAGCUACCACUUGUAGCCGGGUGUGUGUGUCCGGAUGUCAUUCACUGGCAGCUAUUAGGAUGAUUACUAUUGGUGAUUAGGGGCAGGUGUCCUUAGAUCACUAGUGGUUUUAUUUUAUGGGCGGGUGACGGCAUCGUCUAGUUACCACAACGGUUAUAGAUUGUGUGGGCGGGUUAAUAGCACUCUCAGUUACCACAAUUUUUUUUCAUGUCACUGAAUUUCACAUCGCUUGGGGUAAGGAAAAUUUUAGAUUUUUUUUAGCCACUUUGGUUGUUUUCGGGUAUACGAAGACCGUUGGAUCUGAAUUUCAGGACGAAAUUCUUUUUAAGUGGUGGAGAAUGUGACAACCCAGAUUUUUAAGAGUUGAAAUUUAAUUAUUUGGUGACUUUUUAGUUGUCAUUGAUUAUUUUAUUUAAAUUGGAGACUUACCAAUUGUGAGAUUUAAAUUGAUUUGAUUUUAGUUUAAUUACAUAUGUGAUAUAUAUAUAUAUAUAUAUAUAUAUAUAUAUAUAUAUUGCUUGUCUGAUGAAGGAGAUGCCACCAGUAGCCGAAUUGGGGGGAAAGGAAUAAGAAAUGGUUAUGGUAAUUUUCGGGUCCCACUUGAAGGCAUUUAAAUGCUUUGAAUUAUUUUAUUACCUUUGUAUAUAUAAUGAUAUAUACAUAUGUUUAGUACCUUGUCUAAGCAAAAUGGAUGGAAUGCAUGUCCCAGCCGAGAUUGGGAUGAGGUGAAUGGACAGGUGGCGAAAAGUGGAAGCCAAUAUGGGUUUUGAUUUCGUGAUAGUGGGCGGGUCCCACUUGAGGGUCUUAAUGGGUUGAAUUUAUUACACACACACACACAUAUAUAUAUAUAUAUAUAGCAAUUGAUGAAAUGAUGCAUAAAGGGAGCAGCCGAGAUUGUGAAAGGAAGAAAGAUGAAUUAUGGUGGCGGGUCCCAUUGAUUGAUAUUUUGGCACUAUUUAUUUGACUUUGGCUUUUUCCACGUUCUGAUGUGAGUUUAGAUUGCAUUCUUUGUAUUUGAAAUUUGAUUGUUAAAGUGAUAUCUGAAGAGAUAAGGACUGGAAAGGAAGUGGGUGGCGGGUCCACUAGUGUCUUUUGAUUCUUGAUAUUUAUUUUGUAGUCUGAGCAGUGUUGUGUCAAUUUUCUAUUUAUAUCAGUAUCAGUUUGUGAGUUUGAGAAUGAUACAAAGCAAAGAAAAAAAAAUAGAGGAACACACUGUGAGCCGAGAGCUCUAGGAGAUGUUAUAUUUAUUUGAGGAAUUGAUUCUGUAUCAAUAAAAGAGUAUUCUUUUUGA
This is a long non-coding RNA of Cornus florida, 2236 nucleotides long. RefSeq lists it as uncharacterized. The transcript has 2 exons. NCBI's taxonomy places the organism in Eukaryota, Viridiplantae, Streptophyta, Magnoliopsida, Cornales, Cornaceae. The record is from RefSeq and is a predicted model, not a curated record.